UACGUAGGGUGCGAGCGUUAAUCGGAAUUACUGGGCGUAAAGCGUGCGCAGGCGGUUUUGUAAGCCAGAUGUGAAAUCCCCAGGCUUAACCUGGGAACUGCAUUCGAGACUGCAUUGCUAGAGUAUGGCAGAGGGGGAUGGAAUUCCGCGUGUAGCAGUGAAAUGCGUAGAUAUGCGGAGGAACACCGAUGGCGAAGGCAAUCCCCUGGGCCUGCACUGACGCUCAUGCACGAAAGCGUGGGGAGCAAACAGG
Molecule: ribosomal RNA, 253 nt
Filed under: uncultured bacterium
Lineage: Bacteria
Description: partial 16S ribosomal RNA
Rfam family: Bacterial small subunit ribosomal RNA
Source: RNAcentral